Molecule: small nuclear RNA, 141 nt
Organism: Hyla sarda
Lineage: Eukaryota; Metazoa; Chordata; Amphibia; Anura; Hylidae
Source: RefSeq, a predicted model, not a curated record
GUGUUGUAUCAAAGAAGGGAAGAUUAGCAUUCCUCUUAACAAGGAUGGGAGAGGCCCGCUGCAGCUCACCGAACAUAUUUGGUUUCCUUUUGCUCCUUUUGUAAUCUCAAUGACCAAGCAUACUUACUCGUACUUUUUUUU